AUAUUUAAGUCUAAUCUGCCCACUGAUUAAAAUUAAAGGGCUGCAGUAUAUUGACUGUACAAAGGUAGCAUAAUAAAUAGUCUUUUAAUUGAAGACUUGUAUGAAAGAUUUGAUGAAAUAUAAACUGUCUCUAAAUUAAUAAUUGAAAUUAAUUUUUUAGUUAAAAAGUUAAAAUAAUUUAAAAAGACGAGAAGACCCUAUAGAGUUUAAUAAUAAUAAAUUUUUAAUAUUUAAUAUAUAAAAAUGAAUUUAAAAAUUUAUUUUUAUUUUGUUGGGGUGAUAGAAAAAUUAAAAUAACUUUUUUUAAAAAAAAAAUUACAUGAAUAAAUGAAUUUAUGAUCCAUAUUUUAUGAUUAAAAGAAAAAAUUACCUUAGGGAUAACAGCGUAAUUUUUUUUUUUAGUACAAAUAAAAAGAAAAGGUUGCGACCUCGAUGUUGGAUUAAGAUAAAAUUUAAAUGUAAAAGUUUAAAAUUUGAUACUGUUCGAUCAUAAAAUCUG
This 499-nucleotide ribosomal RNA is filed under the name Heliconius burneyi. RNAcentral describes it as "partial 16S ribosomal RNA". Lineage: Eukaryota; Metazoa; Arthropoda; Insecta; Lepidoptera; Nymphalidae. The record is from RNAcentral.